This 433-nucleotide ribosomal RNA is filed under the name uncultured bacterium. Its description in RNAcentral is "partial 16S ribosomal RNA". It matches the Rfam family "Bacterial small subunit ribosomal RNA", at positions 29 to 507 of the family's 1533-position model. The record is from RNAcentral.
AACGAACGCUGGCGGCAUGCCUAACACAUGCAAGUCGAACGAGACCUUCGGGUCUAGUGGCGCACGGGUGCGUAACGCGUGGGAACCUGCCCUUAGGUUCGGAAUAACUCCCCGAAAGGGGUGCUAAUACCGGAUAAUGUCUUCGGACCAAAGAUUUAUCGCCUUUGGAUGGGCCCGCGUUGGAUUAGCUAGUUGGUAGGGUAAAAGCCUACCAAGGCGACGAUCCAUAGCUGGUCUGAGAGGAUGAUCAGCCACACUGGGACUGAGACACGGCCCAGACUACUACGGGAGGCAGCAGUGGGGAAUAUUGGACAAUGGGCGAAAGCCUGAUCCAGCAAUGACGCGUGAGUGAUGAAGGCCUUAGGGUUGUAAAGCUCUUUUACCCGGGAUGAUAAUGACAGUACCGGGAGAAUAAGCACCGGCUAACUCCGUG